Molecule: ribosomal RNA, 497 nt
Filed under: uncultured bacterium
Lineage: Bacteria
Description: partial 16S ribosomal RNA
Rfam family: Bacterial small subunit ribosomal RNA
Source: RNAcentral
GAUGAACGCUGGCGGCGUGCCUAAUACAUGCAAGUCGAGCGAACAGACGAGGAGCUUGCUCCUCUGACGUUAGCGGCGGACGGGUGAGUAACACGUGGAUAACCUACCUAUAAGACUGGGAUAACUUCGGGAAACCGGAGCUAAUACCGGAUAAUAUAUUGAACCGCAUGGUUCAAUAGUGAAAGACGGUUUUGCUGUCACUUAUAGAUGGAUCCGCGCCGCAUUAGCUAGUUGGUAAGGUAACGGCUUACCAAGGCAACGAUGCGUAGCCGACCUGAGAGGGUGGUAGGCCACACUGGAACUGAGACACGGUCCAGACGCCUACGAGAGGCAGCAGUAGGGAAUCGUCCGCAAUGGGCGAAAGCCUGACGGAGCAACGCCGCGUGAGUGAUGAAGGUCUUCGGAUCGUAAAACUCUGUUAUUAGGGAAGAACAAAUGUGUAAGUAACUAUGCACGUCUUGACGGUACCUAAUCAGAAAGCCACGGCUAACUACGUG